GUGCUCACUUGGGGAAGCACAUGUGCUGCAAUAGGAACAACACAGAGAAGACAGCAUGACCUCUGCAUGUGGAUUAACAUGUACAUUGAUGACGUUAUCCAUAUUUUU
This is a small nuclear RNA of Prolemur simus (greater bamboo lemur), 108 nucleotides long. The record is from Ensembl. NCBI's taxonomy places the organism in Eukaryota, Metazoa, Chordata, Mammalia, Primates, Lemuridae.